Molecule: transfer RNA, 75 nt
Filed under: Caloramator fervidus
Lineage: Bacteria; Bacillati; Bacillota; Clostridia; Eubacteriales; Clostridiaceae
Description: tRNA_Thr_CGT
Rfam family: tRNA
About the family: Transfer RNA (tRNA) molecules are approximately 80 nucleotides in length. Their secondary structure includes four short double-helical elements and three loops (D, anti-codon, and T loops).
Source: RNAcentral
GCUCCAUUAGCUCAGCGGUAGAGCAGCUGAUUCGUAAUCAGCAGGCCGUCGGUUCGAAUCCGACAUGGAGCUCCA